CAAAGAUUCCCCGGGGCUGUAGCCACCCGUUAGGUUUCCUAAAUGCACCGCACUCCUCCCCAAGGGGCGAACCCAAACUUGGCAGAGCGAGCCGCAUACACCGAGCCCCAUUGACGGCACGACGGCUAAGUGAACUACAUCCCGGAUCCUCUAAUUAUUCAGCUAAGGGCACCCCAUUCCACCCUCAUGGUUGCACUGUUUUCCCGGGCGGUCAUCCAUAGAACAGGUCCUUACGGAGAGGCACUCGAGAAACCGCUCGAGUCCCCUUGAAAACCACAAGUAUAAUCAUAAAGAAGAACGGGAAAACAGCGUAUCAUAGAUAAUCACAUCAUGUUCAUUGAUUAGAGUUGAGCAAUAGCAUCAGACUAAGUAGUAAUAAUCCGACCCAAAUAGGUAAACAAGGACAUGGAUAACAAAAGCUAGUCAAUCCUUAGGUAUAAAUGUGUAAUGCGGGAGGUGAAUUAAAGAAUGAAUAGGACAGAGAUAGGUCAAAGGACACUUGCCUCCACCAACCGACUGCUGCUCAGGGGCUUCUCCUGCGAAUUCCUCGGGCUCUUCGACCGGAUCGUUCUCUAUGCGAGCGCAAACAUACAUACAUCCAUCCACAUAUUUAAUACAAAAGAACAGUACACCAUACAAGAUAACAAAUAAAGUGAAUAUGCACCAAGUAUGACAUUCGAUAACGCAUUUGUUAUGGUUAGAAAGAAACGGGAAAGGUCUCGCAGGGGGUUAAAUCUUAUGCACUAAUGACACAAUUGGUUUUUAACAAAAUAAUUCUGUUAUAUAUAUUUAUAUAUACUGAUGGAAACCUAAUCACUUUUAGUUGAUCAACAUUGCACAGGGUAAACAAUUAACUACGUGAAUCAAUAACAUAACGGAAUUUUAAAUUAAACUUCCUAUUUUCCCAUAGCAUGAACAGUGAUUAGCCUACUUAAAAUACAGUAAUUAUGAUCACAGAAAGUAAAUAAAAUAAAAUAAAAAAAAUAAAAAAAACAGAGGGGGGGGCGGUUGAACCGGCCCGGGGGCAGGCGGCCGAGCUGGGGCGGCCGAGCGCGGGGGGCGGCCGAGCUGGGGCCGGGGGCGGUUGAGCCGGGGCCGAGGCCGGCUGAACCGGCCCGGGACAGGGGGGCGCGGCCAGGGGGCCAGGCGGCCGGGGUGGGCCAGCGGCGGCCGGGCGGGGCGCGGCUGGGCGCGGCCGAGGGCCGGCCAGCGGCGGCCAGGGGCCACGGCGGGGCUGGGGCGGCUGCCGGCGCGGCCAGGGGGCGCGCGGGGGUGGGGAGAGAAGAGGGGAGGGAGGAGAGGGAGGAGGGGGAGGGGGCUCACCGGCGGGGAUCGACGGCGAGGGGCGGCCGGCGGCAGGGGGCGGCGCGGCGGCCUAGGGUAGGGGCGGCGCUAGGGCAGGGGGCGGGUAGGGCGGCGGCUAGGGAGAGAAUGAGAGAGGGAAAAAAUGAGAGGGAGAGGGAGAGGGUUUGGGGAAAAAGGGGAGGUGGGGGCGGCAUGGGCCUAUUGGGCCCAAGGGGGGGCGCCAGGGGCGGCUGGGCCGGCCGGGGUCGGCCCACGGCGCGGGAGAGAGAGAAAAAAGAGGAGAGAAAAAGAGAGGGAGAAAAAAGAAAGAAAAGAUCUUCUCCACAUUUUCGAAAUCCGAUCUUUCUACAUGAAUGCAAUUGCGCUUUCAAAGCAAUCAAAAGAAAUGCAAGGUUCGGCAUGGUGCAUCAAACAACAUAAAGUAUUUAGGGUUUUUCUUACACGGGAAUUCCAAACCGAAUCCCGCUUAGAACUUUGGAAAAGGUCAAGGUUUAGCGAAGGGAAAAAGAAAAGGGAAAGGUAACGCCCGAAUUUUGGCGAGUAAAGAAAAGAAAAAAUUCAACUGCAAAAUUCGGGGCGUUACAAACCUAUCCCCCUUAAAAGAAUCUCGCCCUCGAGAUUCAGGGCUGGCUAGCAAAGAGCUCCGGGUACUUGGCCAUCAGAUCAUCUUCACGCUCCCAGGUUGCUUCUUCCUCAGAGUGGUGACUCCAUCUGACUUUGCACAUUCUGACGGUCUUCCUUCGGGUGACUCUAUCUGCAACCUCAAGGAUCUGAGCUGGCUUCUCAAUAUAGGUCAAGUCCUCCUGGACUUCAAGACCUUCCACUGGCAACUGCUCUUCUGGCACACGCAAACACUUCUUCAAUUGAGACACAUGAAAGACAUCAUGCACAGCAGACAAAUUCUCUGGCAGGCUGAGCUGAUAAGCCACUUCUCCACGCUUUGAGAGAAUUUGAUACGGACCAAUGUAGCGGGGUGCUAGCUUGCCUUUCACUCCGAAUCUUCUGACUCCUCUGAUCGGUGACACUUUCAGAUAGACAAAGUCUCCGACUUCGAAACUCAGCUCUCUUCUUCUUGUGUCUGCAUAGCUUCGCUGCCUCGAUUGCGCUAUCUUCAGAUUCUCUCGAACCAUCUUGAUGUUCUCUUCGGCUUCGAGCAAAAUAUCUGGCCCAAACACCUGCUUCUCUCCAGGCUGAUCCCAUUGCAACGGAGUUCUGCAACUCCUUCCAUACAGCGCUUGAAACGGUGACAUCUUCAAACUGGCCUGGUAACUGUUGUUAUAGGAAAAUUCUGCAUAAGGCAAUCGCUUGUCCCAUCCGGACUGAUCUUGCAACGCACAGGCUCUCAACAUAUCUUCAAGAAUUUGAUUGGUUCUUUCAGUCUGACCAUCUGUCUGCGGGUGAUAAGCUGAACUGAAAUUCAGAUGCGUGCCCAAGGCUUCAUGCAACUGCUGCCAGAAAUGAGAGGUGAACUGCGUUCCUCUGUCUGACACUAUCUUCUUUGGCACACCAUGAAGACAAACGAUCCGAGACAUAUACAAUUCUGCCAAUACUGCACUGUUGUAGUUGGUCUUGACAGGUAUGAAGUGGGCUGACUUGGUCAAACGGUCCACUACUACCCAAAUGGAAUCGUAGCCGGCUCGAGUGCGAGGCAAUCCGACUAUGAAAUCCAUACCAAUUUCAUCCCAUUUCCACUGAGGGAUCUGCAACGGUUGCAACAAUCCAGCUGGUCUCUGGUGUUCUGCCUUAAUUCUUCGACAACUAUCGCACAUAGCCACAUGCUCUGCGAUUUCUCUUUUCAUUCCGUACCACCAGAAUUUCUUCUUCAGAUCCUGAUACAUCUUCUCACUGCCAGGGUGAAUCGAAUAAGCUGUCUCAUGAGCUUCCUUAAGAAUCAACUCCCGAAUAGACUGGACAUUGGGAACACACAAGCGGUCUUUGAACCAUACCACACCUUCUGCAUCUUCUCGAAAGUCUUUGCCUCUGCCAUCUAGAAUCAAUCGCCGAAUCUCACUGAUCUUCUCAUCAUUUUUCUGCGCUUUCUUUUGAUUUNNNNNNNNNNNNNNNNNNNNNNNNNNNNNNNNNNNNNNNNNNNNNNNNNNNNNNNNNNNNNNNNNNNNNNNNNNNNNNNNNNNNNNNNNNNNNNNNNNNNAGCAAGGGUGAGUACACAUCAACAUACUCAGCAAGUAUCCUGUUUGGCUGUAGUGGACUAGCUUUAUGUGGGGAUCAGUCAAGCAGUUGCUUUUAGUUGGUCAGGUUAUUACUUACUAGUAGAAAGCCAGGUUUUAACAUUAACCCAAGUUAUUAACCCAAUGUAUCCUUUCCAAACGGAAAGAAUACCACUUACCAAUACCAUAAUCAUAACCAGAACCAUCAAUCUCAUUGCCACCUGUACCAAAAUAUCUCUGAUCAAGUAUCACUAAUCUCUGGAGCUCCCUUGGCCGCUCAUAACCGUGAGCACGGCUGAUAUAUCAGUUUCAUAACACUCUGCAGAGGUUGUGCACUUUACCCACAAGCCGUGAUUCCCUCUUGCCUCGGGCCGAUCAAACCCUUAAACACUACCAAGGUGAAUAGGCAGGGUUUCACUACGUAGCCUUUACAAAGAUUCCCCGGGGCUGUAGCCACCCGUUAGGUUUCCUAAAUGCACCGCACUCCUCCCCAAGGGGCGAACCCAAACUUGGCAGAGCGAGCCGCAUACACCGAGCCCCAUUGACGGCACGACGGCUAAGUGAACUACAUCCCGGAUCCUCUAAUUAUUCAGCUAAGGGCACCCCAUUCCACCCUCAUGGUUGCACUGUUUUCCCCGGGCGGUCAUCCAUAGAACAGGUCCUUACGGAGAGGCACUCGAGAAACCGCUCGAGUCCCCUUGAAAACCACAAGUAUAAUCAUAAAGAAGAACGGGAAAACAGCGUAUCAUAGAUAAUCACAUCAUGUUCAUUGAUUAGAGUUGAGCAAUAGCAUCAGACUAAGUAGUAAUAAUCC
This 4284-nucleotide long non-coding RNA is filed under the name Zea mays. RNAcentral describes it as "long non-coding RNA (ZMAY_LNC001696)". The record is from RNAcentral. Lineage: Eukaryota; Viridiplantae; Streptophyta; Magnoliopsida; Poales; Poaceae.